Molecule: small nuclear RNA, 101 nt
Organism: Bison bison bison
Lineage: Eukaryota; Metazoa; Chordata; Mammalia; Artiodactyla; Bovidae
Source: Ensembl
GUGCUUGCUUUGGCUGUACAUGCAAUAAAAUUGGAAAAAGAAGAAUAUCAUGGCCCGUGCACAAGGAUGACAUGCAAAUUCAUAAAGCAUUCCAUAUUCAA